UCUGGUGGCAAUAGAGAAGGGGAACUACCUGAUCCCAUACCGAACUCAGAAGUCAAGCCCUUCCUCGCCGAUGGUACUACACGCAAGAGUGUGGAAGAGUAGGGCGCUGCCAGAU
RNAcentral lists this ribosomal RNA (115 nucleotides) under Candidatus Sacchlamyda saccharinae. Lineage: Bacteria; Pseudomonadati; Chlamydiota; Chlamydiia; Parachlamydiales; Candidatus Rhabdochlamydiaceae. The record is from RNAcentral.